This 185-nucleotide ribosomal RNA is filed under the name uncultured bacterium. RNAcentral's name for it is "partial 16S ribosomal RNA". It matches the Rfam family "Bacterial small subunit ribosomal RNA", at positions 1303 to 1500 of the family's 1533-position model. The record is from RNAcentral.
GGCUGAAACUCGCCUACAUGAAGCUGGAAUUGCUAGUAAUCACAGGUCAGCAUACUGUGGUGAAUACGUUCCCGGGCCUUGUACACACCGCCCGUCACGACCAUGAGAGUUGAGAAUACCCGAAGCCCAUGUCAAAGUGGUCGAAGGUAGGCUUGAUGAUUGGGGUGAAGUCGUAACAAGGUACC